This 97-nucleotide signal recognition particle RNA is filed under the name Halopseudomonas formosensis. RNAcentral describes it as "signal recognition particle sRNA small type". It matches the Rfam family "Bacterial small signal recognition particle RNA". Rfam says of the family: The signal recognition particle (SRP) is a universally conserved ribonucleoprotein involved in the co-translational targeting of proteins to membranes. Archaeal SRP consists of a 7S RNA and homologues of the eukaryotic SRP19 and SRP54 proteins. RNAcentral also lists the same sequence under 2 other names. The record is from RNAcentral. Lineage: Bacteria; Pseudomonadati; Pseudomonadota; Gammaproteobacteria; Pseudomonadales; Pseudomonadaceae.
UGUCGGUCCCCUCGCAACGAUUCGCCGUGAACCCGGUCAGGCCCGGAAGGGAGCAGCCGUAGCGGUACCGUCGUGUGCCGGGGUGUGGCUGGCAGGG